This 66-nucleotide transfer RNA is filed under the name Graphocaecilius interpretatus. RNAcentral's name for it is "tRNA-Ser". The record is from RNAcentral. Lineage: Eukaryota; Metazoa; Arthropoda; Insecta; Psocodea; Sphaeropsocidae.
GAAUUAUCCAGCCCCCAUUUAAGCUGCUAACUUAAAUUAAAAUGGUUAAAUUCCAUUUAUAAUUCU